RNAcentral lists this ribosomal RNA (433 nucleotides) under uncultured bacterium. RNAcentral's name for it is "partial 16S ribosomal RNA". It matches the Rfam family "Bacterial small subunit ribosomal RNA", at positions 29 to 507 of the family's 1533-position model. The record is from RNAcentral.
AACGAACGCUGGCGGCAUGCCUAACACAUGCAAGUCGAACGAGACCUUUGGGUCUAGUGGCGCACGGGUGCGUAACGCGUGGGAAUCUGCCCUUGGGUUCGGAAUAACUGUGAGAAAUUGCUGCUAAUACCGGAUGAUGUCUUCGGACCAAAGAUUUAUCGCCCAGGGAUGAGCCCGCGUAGGAUUAGCUAGUUGGUGGGGUAAUGGCCUACCACGGCGACGAUCCUUAGCUGGUCUGAGAGGAUGAUCAGCCACACUGGGACUGAGACACGGCCCAGACUCCUACGGGAGGCAGCAGUGGGGAAUAUUGGACAAUGGGCGCAAGCCUGAUCCAGCAAUGCCGCGUGAGUGAUGAAGGCCUUAGGGUUGUAAAGCUCUUUUACCAGGGAUGAUAAUGACAGUACCUGGAGAAUAAGCUCCGGCUAACUCCGUG